Molecule: long non-coding RNA, 587 nt
Organism: Prunus dulcis (almond)
Lineage: Eukaryota; Viridiplantae; Streptophyta; Magnoliopsida; Rosales; Rosaceae
Exons: 2
Source: RefSeq, a predicted model, not a curated record
UAAACCCUUUAAAGACAAUACAAAGCUUGUCAUUCAGCAAAUUCAGAGUUUAGCUAGGUGUUUGCUAGAAGAGAGAGAAUGGAAGCCAAACAAGUUAGGUGCGCAGUGCUGGUUUGUCUAGUGCUGGGAUUGGUCAUGGGGCAGUCCACAGCUCAACUAUUCCAACUGUGCUAUGGUGCUUGCUUUGGCAUCUGCAUUGUCAAUGACCACAAUCCUCUCAAAUGUGGGAUUCGCUGCUUGAAAAAGUGCAUCCUAACUCCUGAACCUUCGGACGGCCACCAAACAAAUUCUCUCCACUUCUGCAAGCUUGGUUGUGCCACCUCUUUGUGCACUAAUAUCAGCACCAAAGAUAAUCCAAAUGAAGAAAAGGUGAAGAAUUGUGUGGAUUCUUGCUCGGGAACAUGCACCAAUGCUCAGGCUUCAACAAAGAACUAAAGAGUGAUCACGUGAAUAGAAUUAUGCAACAUGUGGUUGUAGUAAUUCUUAACAAAUCUUAUUAUUCAUAAUGGAAUUUGAUUGCUUUUAUGUAGUGAUUUCAGCCAAAAUGAAUUGUGUGGCUGGGCAAUGCAAUAGAAAAUAUGCAUGUU